RNAcentral lists this non-coding RNA (81 nucleotides) under Treponema brennaborense. RNAcentral's name for it is "ZTP sequence". It matches the Rfam family "ZMP/ZTP riboswitch aptamer (pfl RNA motif)". Rfam says of the family: Previously known as pfl RNA. ZMP is also known as AICAR. The record is from RNAcentral. RNAcentral also lists the same sequence under 1 other name. Lineage: Bacteria; Pseudomonadati; Spirochaetota; Spirochaetia; Treponematales; Treponemataceae.
AUUCGUAAGUACUUCUGGCGCUCAGAUGGAAUGAACCAUCGUGAAGUUUCUGAUAAAAAGCCGCACGCCUGGGCUUAAAAG